CCUACGGGUGGCAGCAGUGGGGAAUAUUGCACAAUGGGCGCAAGCCUGAUGCAGCCAUGCCGCGUGUGUGAAGAAGGCCUUCGGGUUGUAAAGCACUUUCAGCGGGGAGGAAGGCGUUAAGGUUAAUAACCUUGUCGAUUGACGUUACCCGCAGAAGAAGCACCGGCUAACUCCGUGCCAGCAGCCGCGGUAAUACGGAGGGUGCAAGCGUUAAUCGGAAUUACUGGGCGUAAAGCGCACGCAGGCGGUCUGUCAAGUCGGAUGUGAAAUCCCCGGGCUCAACCUGGGAACUGCAUUCGAAACUGGCAGGCUAGAGUCUUGUAGAGGGGGGUAGAAUUCCAGGCGUAGCGGUGAAAUGCGUAGAGAUCUGGAGGAAUACCGGUGGCGAAGGCGGCCCCCUGGACAAAGACUGACGCUCAGGUGCGAAAGCGUGGGGAGCAAACAGGAUUAGAUACCCGUGUAGUC
Molecule: ribosomal RNA, 465 nt
Filed under: uncultured Klebsiella sp.
Lineage: Bacteria; Pseudomonadati; Pseudomonadota; Gammaproteobacteria; Enterobacterales; Enterobacteriaceae
Description: bacterial SSU rRNA
Rfam family: Bacterial small subunit ribosomal RNA
Source: RNAcentral